Molecule: ribosomal RNA, 720 nt
Filed under: uncultured anaerobic ammonium-oxidizing bacterium
Lineage: Bacteria
Description: bacterial SSU rRNA
Rfam family: Bacterial small subunit ribosomal RNA
Source: RNAcentral
GAGCACGUAGGUGGGUUUGUAAGUCAGAUGUGAAAGCCUUCUGUUCAACGGAAGAAUUGCAUCUGAAACUGCAAGUCUUGAGUGUAGGAGGGGAGAAUGGGACUUCUGGUGGAGCGGUGAAAUGCGUAGAUAUCAGAAGGAACGCCGGCGGCGAAAGCGAUUCUCUGGCCUAUUACUGACACUCAGUGUGCGAAAGCUAGGGGAGCAAACGGGAUUAGAUACCCCGGUAGUCCUAGCCGUAAACGAUGGGCACUAAGUAGAGGGGAUUACCGAUGUUCUCUCUGCCGUAGCUAACGCAUUAAGUGCCCCGCCUGGGGAGUACGGCCGCAAGGCUAAAACUCAAAAGAAUUGACGGGGGCUCGCACAAGCGGUGGAGCAUGUGGCUUAAUUCGAUGCAACGCGAAAAACCUUACCGGGGCUUGACAUGGUAGAAGUAGGAACCCGAAAGGGUAACGAACGGUAUCCAGUCCGUAGCUAUCACAGGUGUUGCAUGGCUGUCGUCAGCUCGUGUCGUGAGACGUUGGGUUAAGUCCCCUAACGAGCGAAACCCUUGUUUUUAGUUACCAGCGGGUUAUGCCGGGUACUCUAGAAAGACUGCCGUCGUCAAGACGGAGGAAGGUGGGGAUGACGUCAAGUCAUCAUGGCCCUUAUGCCCCGGGCUGCACACGUGCUACAAUGGUCGGUACAAACGGAUGCGAAGCCGAGAGGUGAAGCGAAUCC